Anser cygnoides (Swan goose) is the source of this 2037-nucleotide long non-coding RNA. Lineage: Eukaryota; Metazoa; Chordata; Aves; Anseriformes; Anatidae. The record is from Ensembl.
CGGGACCCCGGGCACCCCCGAGGACCCACCCCGGUGACUGCCAGUGGGACUCACGCACCCCUGAGGACCCAACCCGGUGACUCCCGGCGGGACCCCAGCCACCACCGAGGACCCACCCCGGUGUCUCCCAGUGGGUCCACGGGCACCCCCGAGGACCCACCCCGGUUACUCCCAGCGGAUUCACGGGCAUCCCCAAGGACCCACCCUGCUGACUCCCAGAGAGUCCACGGGCACCCCCGAGGACCCACCCCGCUGACUCCCGGCGCGUCCACAGGCACUCCGGAGGACCCACUCUGGUGAAUCCCAGCAGGUCCACGUGGACCUCUGCGGACCCACCCCGGUGACUCCCAGCGGGACCCCAGGCACCCUCGAGGAGCCGCCCCGGUGAAUCCCGGCGGGUCCACGUGCAUCCCGGAGAACCCACCCCGUUGACUCCGUGCGCUUGCGUAGUCGUCCCUCGGGCUCCCCAAAGGCCUCUAGGUCUACCCGCCGCUCGGAAACGAUCGGGCGCACCCGCCGUGCGAGACGCGGACGCGCGCCUCGCUCCGACGGGGACCGCCAGGUCUACCAGCCCCCCCCUCAGCCCCGUUAGGGUGGCCAGGUCUACCCGCCGCUCGGAAAGGACCGGGCGGACCCACGAUCGAGGUCGCGAACGGGGACGCGCGCGCCUCCGUCGAACGGGGCCGCCACGUCUACCUGACGGUCCCUCCCCCCCCCCUCCCCCGUGGCGAGCCCCCGACGAGGGGGCUGCCGCCGGGUGAAGCGGCUGCCGGGUCUGGCGCUCGCCUAGUCGUCCCUCCGGCUCCCCAAAGGCCGCCAGGUCUACCCGAGACAUUGGCGCUAAGCCCGUGGGGGAAUGCGGGGGGUGGGCGCGUGUCCGACCGGCCGGAGCCGCCAGGUCAACCCGGAUGGGGAAGGGGGGGAGGGAGGAAAGCGGGGAAGGGAGACGGGAGAGCGACGAUCUCCCGCGCCGCGGGGCGCGGGGAAGCGGGACCGCGCGAGCCUUCCGCGCGCCUCUUCCCCCCUUCCCCUUAACGCCCGGGCCUCCCCCCCGGGGGCCCCGCGGACCCCGGGCGAAGCGGCGAGAGUGCCGGGCAGGCGGGAGGGAAAAAAGACGGACAGAAAAGCGACCGCGUCGUCGUCGUCCACCCGCGGGAACUGACGAAAGAACGGAGGGAGGGGGGCCGGGGGCCGGCGGGCCCGGUCGGCCCCGGCCCGCCCGGAGGCGGGCGCGGGGCGCGGAGGGCGCGGCGGCGGUCCUUCUCCCUCGGCCCCGGGAUUCGGCGACGCGUCCGGGCCCGGCGGCUCUAACACCCGCCGCACGCUCGCGCGGCCGCGGGCCACCUGCCCGCCGCCCGGCCGCGGCGCAGGCCUGCGAGGCACCCCAGCCGCGCUGCGCUGCCACCCCGCGGCGGCGGCACUGGCGAUUGACCAUCGAGCAACGCUCAGGCAGGCGUAGCCCCGGGAGGAACCCAGGGCCGCAAAGUGCGUUCUAAGUGUCAAUGAUCAAUGUGUCCUGCAAUUCACAUUAAUUCUCGCAGCUAGCUGCGUUCUUCAUUGACGCACGAGCCGAGUGAUCCACCGCUAAGAGUUGUCUGCCUUUUCGGCACUGCCCCGCGUGCGCGGGGGGGCCGGGGCCGCUCCACGCGGACCCCUUCCGGGGGCACUUCCGCGACCGACCCGCGGCUCCCGACCGACGGACGACCCAAAACUAGCGGCCCCCUCCUCACGCCGACGCCGGCCACCGAGCGAGGGGACGCCACCGCGGGCCGACCGACAGCACGGCGAGCUGCGACCAUGGCGCGCGCCAGCGUCGCCUCCGCUGACCGUACGAACACAUGCGGAAGGAAGGGAGGGAGAGAGAGACUCGAGUGGACGAGGAGCGGGAGCCUGCGCUCCCGACGACCGCCUGGGCCCGACGACCCAGGCUCGCUUUGAGUCUGGCCCAGGCACCCGGCUCGGCCCGGCCCAGCCGAGACAGCGGCGCACCUGCCGCGCCGCCUCGCUUCGCUUCAGCCGGCCCCGACGCCGGCAUCC